Molecule: non-coding RNA, 228 nt
Filed under: Pseudoramibacter alactolyticus
Lineage: Bacteria; Bacillati; Bacillota; Clostridia; Eubacteriales; Eubacteriaceae
Description: T-box sequence
Rfam family: T-box leader
About the family: Uncharged tRNA acts as the effector for transcription antitermination of genes in the T-box leader family.
Source: RNAcentral
AUUUUUGCAAUGAAGAAGUUUGUACCGCAAAUGGUGAAGGUUCUUAAGAGAGAAUACCAGUCGCUGGGAGGUAUUUGAACCCUUUGCGGGAAGUUUCGCUUCUGAGCAUUUCGGCUGAAACUGAGUAGGCCGAAACGUACGACCUGCGUUAUGUGUUUGAGUGAUUCGGCAUGAAUAUUUUUUUGUGUCGGGUAAGCAAGGUGGUACCGCGGAAUUUUCGUCCUUAUA